CAGCCGUAAACUAUGCGCGUUAGGUGUAUCGGUGACCACGAGUUACCGAGGUGCCGAAGGGAAACCGUGAAACGUGCCGCCUGGGAAGUACGGUCGCAAGGCUGAAACUUAAAGGAAUUGGCGGGGGAGCACCACAACAGGUGGAGCCUGCGGUUUAAUUGGACUCAACGCCGGGAAGCUCACCGGAUAAGACAGCGGAAUGAUUGCCGGGCUGAAGACCCUGCAUGACUAGCUGAGAGAAGGUGCAUGGCGUAGACGUCU
RNAcentral lists this ribosomal RNA (261 nucleotides) under uncultured archaeon. Its description in RNAcentral is "partial 16S ribosomal RNA". It matches the Rfam family "Archaeal small subunit ribosomal RNA", at positions 748 to 1009 of the family's 1478-position model. The record is from RNAcentral.